UUCCAUAUGGAAUUUGUAUUUUUUUUAUUUGUUUAAUUAGCAUGGUCACUGGAAGACAGUUAACGUAGUUUUCAAAUAUUUAACUACCCCCUUGGUUGUUAACAGCUCACUGCCUUCCAGCGGCCGUUCUGGUUCUGUCCUAACCAACCACUAAUGAUUUUGCUUUCUUCCUGAGGUUGACGGAAACUUAAGUCAGUUACGAAGGAGAUUUCAAUCACGAAGGGUCUCGUAACUCAGAUACUCUGAGCUCUAUUGACUAUAUAAGGAUAUACAGCUAUAUCUUUGAAGUGACGACGACUAUUCCUUUCGACAUGUAAUCGCCGUUUAAACCCAGCCAGGAAGAAGCAUUCCUUCAUCGCAGUCUCUCACUCUACACGUACUUCGCCUUCGUCCCAGGAUGAUAUCGGUAUUUUGGAAGUGGCUGAAUUACUGCGGCUCCCCCAAGCUUCACGAUGAUCAACUUUGUGUAUUAGCUGCCGCAUCAGCACCUGGAUGAUAGGACAGUUUUCAAUUACAAUAAAUUACUUAAUUU
Macrobrachium nipponense is the source of this 532-nucleotide long non-coding RNA. RefSeq lists it as uncharacterized. The transcript has 2 exons. The record is from RefSeq and is a predicted model, not a curated record. NCBI's taxonomy places the organism in Eukaryota, Metazoa, Arthropoda, Malacostraca, Decapoda, Palaemonidae.